Molecule: long non-coding RNA, 6541 nt
Organism: Vespula vulgaris
Lineage: Eukaryota; Metazoa; Arthropoda; Insecta; Hymenoptera; Vespidae
Exons: 3
Source: RefSeq, a predicted model, not a curated record
UUUGAUUGCUAGAGGGAGCAAUUGUCGCAGGAGUUCAUACCGCCAUCUACGUCUCUAUUUUCAUAGUUAUAAUUUUCAUUAGUCGAAGAAUGUCGGGUUAGUUGCUGAAUUGGUUAUCAUAUUGGAAAUGCAGAUAUAUUAUAUCUCAUAUAAAACCAUGAUAGUAUAAUGGAAGAAACAUCUUCGCAGGAUAAAAUUUGUAAACUUAGAUAUUUGCCGAGGAAAAAGACGAUAUGGUGUGAAAAACCGAUAUGGUUGUUAUAUAUUUAUUACAUAUAGCUAUGAUAUAGUAAUAUGCAUAAAUGCUUAUCAUUAAUCUUUAUUUGUUCUAGGGAAAAUGUGUAAAUAUAAGGAGAUAGGUUAAAAUUAAAUUCAGUUUAAAACAAAAUAUUGGAAAAGAGAAAGCGGGACAUAUACAUCGUGAUUAAUACAAGGAUCACUCGGGAAAUCUUCGUGCAUUAGAGUUUUUCUAUGACGGACAAGUACAAAUAUCGUGUGCACCAUCGUUGAUACCGUCGUAUUUCAUCAAGCAUCCGACAUCCUACAUGAAAUACAAAAUACCUUCAAUCCUUCUACAGAUUUACAAAAAGAUAAAUAGGAGGAAUAACACCUUUACAUACUCGACUUUAUAUUUUUUACAAUUGUUCAAAUUUACACACACACGAAGAAACGUAUACAUAUAUUUAUAAGCGAUAUCUUAUAUAAAAAUAUUACAUACAUCGAUAUCAUCUCAAGUCUUACGAACGAUCAGUAUCUAAAUCGAAAAGAGUGAGCAGUCUAAUAUCCUCGCAUCGAAUCGUUCAAAUUCUUGAGGCGAAAUGCUUCGAUCUACGGAGAAAUCCAUUUCAGAUAUCCUCUACGGAAUUGAACACAGGGUGAGUAUCUUUCUCAACGAGAAACUUUAGAGUACUGUUCGAUCAUGGUUUAAAUUUUCUAUUAACUUAAAUGAAACUUUAUACAGAAUAUUCUACGAUUGUAAAAAAGUAAAACAAAAGAGGUUCAAAUAAUACGAACCAACGCCUAUCCAAUGAAUUUCGAAGCUAAUAUAGCAUUCUAUUACUGUCACCGAAAUUCUCAUACGAGUCCCGAAACCGGAUUGUUUAACACACUGUAUCAAGCAAGGAUUCAUCGACAUUUACUAUAUCUGCCAGUAGUACAGGACGUUUGCGAUCAAUCCCAUUCUUGAUCUGUCAAUUUUCGUUAAGGCCUGUCAAUCUUUGGACGGCCUCAAUUAAAUCGGCGAACGGGCGAGUUGAUCGUCCUCGUCGAAAUCUGAAAACGAAUAUGUUAAAUGAGUCAAGCUUGUUUAUAAUCGAUAUAACGUUUGACUCGUGCGUCGUUAUAAGUUUCUCGACGUAGUGCGUCAUAUAGGUGUAAAUGGAACGUUCCGUGAGACGGAAGUACAUCGAACUUAUCUAAAUUGAGUCCUCCUAGUACCACCACAGUUAGAUUAGUCUCUCCUGCAUAUAGAUCUGUCCGUCUGUCCGUACAUUCAUCCUGUCUGUCUGUUCGUUCAUCCGUCCGUCCGUUCGUCCACUCGUCCGUCCGUUCGCUCGUCCGUCCGUCCGUCUAUCCGUCCAUUCUUCGGUCCGUCGGUCCGUCCGUCCAUCGUCCGUCCGUCGUCCGUCGUCCGUCCUCGCUAUUCACUACUGUUACCGUAGGAACUAACGUGUCACUGCAUGCACCGUGAAAUUAAAUGAUCUCGAUUAACAGAAUCGGUCGAAGUACGCGUUCAUCGCCGCUGGUGAACAAAAGUGGAUUUUCGACAAUCUCUUGGGAAAAUAUUCCUCCCCUUUUUUUUGCAAUCCAUGCAAUUAUUUAACGUUUCGAUCUCUCGAAAAUGUCCAUGCUUGCAAUCUCUCAAACGAACGAACGGUCAAAGUAUACAAAAGAAUAAGGACGCACACAAACGAAAUUUUAACGAUGUAUACUGUAGAUGCAAAGAAAAAAGAAACGAAUGACGAACAAAUGAGGACGCGUUAGGUGUUUUAGUCUUCUUUGACAAAUAUCAGCAAAUUGAGUAAAUCUUCGGAGCAUGAUUAUAUGAGAAAGCGGAGUCACGUAUUCUUCAAGUUCAAGCAUUCGUUAUAUUCUAAAUAAAACACCCGCUAUAUCGAAUAGGAUGAAGGAUCGUGGUGAAAAUGCGACGGAACUUCUAAAUCAUUAUUACAUUUACCACCGGUUGGCACUUUACCUUUCUUAUAUAUAUAGGAAAUAUACAAACAUGUAGUAUAUAUAGUAUAUAUACUCACACACACGAUUUAAAGCUACUUCCUUCAUGGUCUAUUUUAUUUUUGAUACCGAUAAAUCGUCUGGCAGUACACGCACAUGAAGUUUCACUUAAAGCAAGUCGGUACGGUCACGAUUCCAAACAUAUGUAAUAUCGUUAAAUCUACGAUCUAUCGUUAGAUGUCUUGAAACUACGUGGAAGUCCCAAACGACUUUUCAAAUAUUAGAAUUCUUUCUUUUCUUUAUUUUGUGAAUGAUCGAUCGUAUAACGAAGAUUUAUUCGUUUUAAGCUUUUCAUUAUCGAUGUCCAUUCAACAAUACGCGUCGCUAUUUUUUUUUGUCGAGCAUACGUUGAUACAGCAAUAUUGUUGCGACUCUCAGAGCUUUGUAUUGUUCGUAAUGAAAAAAAAAAUAUAUAAUAGUUCUUAUAUGUAUAUAUAUAUUUUUUUUUAAUCGAACAGAAUCUACAUAUAUCGCCAUUCGACAGAGAUACGAGCUUUGUUAUAUCGUCAAGCUGACAAUCAUGAAUAUGUCCAGUGAUUGACGCCAACCGAGUUAAAUAAACUAGAUGCUAUAUAGAUAAAUUUUACAUUUAUCUUCGAUUUAGCCUGUCAGAAAAUUUAUUGGUUUUUAAAAAUCAAAUAGGUCAUAUAUCUGUGAUAAAUCGUACGAAUUUGCGGCAAUAUUUGAUCCGUUUAUUUGUUUCUUCGUAAUGCAAUAAUACGAAUUCUCGUGCAAGAUUUCUGGCGUCGGAUCGCGAUCGUAAACGCACGACUGGAUCGUCUUUCAUUAUCUCAUAUAUUUUAAGUACGUAUAAGACUACAGUCAUCAAUCUUCAUCUGCCCGCGAGUAAUUUAAUUAGUUCACGUUUUCCGCCGUAUAAAUAUUCUCGUAUGUAGGAAGGUAUAUAUCUUAGAGGUUCAUUGCUUCGGCCACCCUCUAAAAUAAAUGCAUAUUCAUGAUACGCAUAAACAAGGGAAGACUAACGGAUGUAUAAAUACAUUCAACUUACGUAUUUGUAUAUCCACAUUCGAGGCACAUCUACUGAUACACAAAGACAAUUGAAACUUUUAAGAGAUUCAUUUUGCAGUUAAGUACCGUACAACGUGGCACGUAAAUGAUUAAGUCGAUUAUACGAGGAAUGCCUGGAAUUUCGGUGCGAGGUUUAAUUAGAUCAUCAAUGAGUACGAUCGGCGAUUGGAAAACGAUCGGUGCCCGGAGGGAAGUGCCUUUAUCGAGGGAUGAUAAACUGUAUUCGAGUAUAUUCUCAAAUUGAUUUUUAUCCAAUCCCAAAUUCGAUAAACGUUUCGCGAAUAUUGUUAAAAAUAGUAACAUCGUGGAUUAGUGCGUGCCAAAGUAAAAAACUGCUUAAUAUUUAAUGAACGUGGAUUUAUGAGUUUCGAUUAAUCGUGUUAAUAUUAAAAUAUAAUAUUACAACUUUCCGGUUGUACCAAUCGUAAACGUGGAUAUCCCGUUGCUCGAAAUUAUUUUCCCUCGCUGAACUUUACACUUCCUAAGGACAUUAAAAGAGUUUAUCGAAGAAUAAUAAAUAAAAAAUUGUAUACGACAUGAAAUAUCCGAACAACAUGGUACGAAUUAAUAUAUCUGUUACGAUACUCGGCGGAUUACGGAUUGCGAUCACCAUAAAUAUAUAAAUUUGAAAGGAUAUGAACGUGUUGCCGUAUUACAUGAUAUCGCCGUGGUUAUUCUAUAUAAUUUAGAGUAUCUUUUGUAGUAAAAUCAAGUUCGUAGCGAAAGCUGAUUCGCUUUAAAGUAAUUAGGAAUAUAGAAAUACGUAGCAUGUCGCUUAUUGAAAUAAUAUGAAUCAACCUGUGUGAACUCACGUUAUUACCGUGACGGGAUUAGCUAACAAUUCUCUGUACUAAUUACUUCAUAAUUUGUAGUUGUAAUAAGAUUAAUUUUAAUACUAUGAAAUAUGAUAGCGCGAAGCUUGUAAAUUUCUAAAAUACAUGAAAUUCUUUUCAUAUUUUCAGGUAUGCAGGGAGUACGCUCGAUAGGUUCGAGCUGACCGUUACGACUAAUUUCGCAUGUCGUGCCAUGAAAUGUAGAAGCCAGUUUUAUUGGCUUUAGACAGGCGUGUACGAUAUCCGUGGUAAUUUUUCACGAAAGCUUUCCAAAAUUUGCAGUAGCCUGCAGUCUCGCGAAACAAGUAAUGAGCAGUUACGAACGCUUACAAUGCGACUAUUUCCUCCCUGUAUACACGUAUAUGUACAUAUAUCGGGAGUCCAUUUCAAAGUUGCGCGGUCAGUGAAUUUGUAACGAUGCGCCUAACAAUGUUAUGCGCGAAUCGUCGAAAAAACAUAAAGAACAAUAAUAAUGAUGAUGAUAGUAAUAGUAAUAAUAAUAAUAAUAAUAAUAAUAAUAAUAAUAAUAAUAAUAACAACAAUAAUAAUAAUAACGAUAACGAUGAAAAGCUAUCGAAAGAAAGUCCCAAGCUUGGGGGUGAGCUACGCGUAUGUGUUGAUCUAUGGGGACGGGGGUUGAAACGAAACAUAACCGUAAUAGCCAUAUACUGGAUUUAUGACUCGGCUGUGAAAUCUUGGAAUCGAAAUAAUAUAAGGAUGAUAUACGAUUAAACGUCACUCUCGCUUUUGUGUAAUAGUUCUCGCUUUUGUUCUUCGCAAGCGAGACGAAAAGACACGGUUACCGUCGGCAUCGUAGUAGCUAAUUAACUUACAACUUGGAGUUUGUACGCUCGUAGAGUCGUUCUUGCUUUCGUUUUAAUUCCGGAUGUAUAUGUACCUUAGGGAGGAGGGCGAACGAGUUUCCACGUCGCAUAAAUCGACGAAGAAGGGCGCGGUUAGUAGCGUGCGAUUGCUAAAGAAUUAUGGGAAGCGUAGUUCCGUUUCCAGAAUGCUAAUUUCAAUAAUAGUUUCACGCGCUACUCUUUCUGUGGUCGUAGAAAAUGAACAAAAGAAAGAAAGAUAGAUAGAGAGAGAGAGAGAGAGAGAGAGAGAGAGAGGAGAGGAGAAUAAGCGACGUUUAUAUAACACAAAACAACACAACGUAACGUGACACAACAAGGGGAAAGAGAGUCGAGUUCGCUCAUGCGCUCGUGCACGCGAGCGCACGUUUAGUGUCGAGCUAUUAUUCGGCAGUUAACGAGGCAAAAUGCUCGUGACGAUAACGCCGCGGGGGUAGCUCCCAAAGCCAGCCAAUAAUUAUUACACGACUCCACGAAGCGGUUAUUGUCCCAAUUCGGGGGUCGCUUUGCGGAUAAUGGCUGCGCUCGAGAGGUCAUGUGAGCCUGACGUUCCAGCAUGUCAACAGCAACUAUGCAUCAUCGGAUGUCUGGCGCACGUAAACGCGUCCUCCACCCCACCUCCUAACUCCACCUCCUCAUCUGUUCGCCCUCCGCAUGCUAGCGAUUUCCUCCACCUCGUAUCUGCUAUCCGCUUCUCCACCAUAUCACUCGACGCUUGCAUCCUCCGUCGGAUAUACAGGCGAGCUCGUUCAUUAUAAUAAACAGACGAUCGGUCCCAGGUGAUAUAUCGAUUCGAUUUUACGUCCUGUAAGACUUUGAUUUUCCAUUCGGCCGACGACGACGACGACAACGACGAUGACGAUGGCCUUGGUACGUUUACCGACACUAUCAUUUAUUCAAAACAAUAUAAACGACGAUAUAUGUAUAAUGUAAAUAUAUUUUGUAUGUAGAUGGGAAAGUUUCAAGAUGAUGAUCGUUCCGAGUAGAUCAACGUGUACAUAAUUUCUCUUUUUCUCUCUAUCUUUUUGUCUCUAUAGAUAUCUUUUAAGAAAAAUGAGAUUGCGCUCGCUCGAAACGAUUUGUUUCUUGUUAAUUUUAAUUCGAAAGAAUGAAAGGAAACGUAUCGAUUGACAUUACUUUUUUAUUGAAAAAAAAAAAAAAUUAAAUCAGAGUGCAGUAUAAACGAAGAAGUAGUAUUCGAUUUGAUAUCAAAAUUCGUAAUUGCACGAGUUCGAAUUUUCCCGCGUGCACUUUCGUGGUCUUCGCACACGUGACAAAUUUCGGCAAUUGGAAUGGGCGCUAGUUCCGCUCAAUGAACGCUAUUAACAACAAGUUUUUAUGAAAUUCACGAUGUCGUCAUAAUCACGGGUGAUUAAUAUAUUUUGUGUAUGUUCCAGGAAAUUCGCUUUCACUCGAAAACGUAAACAAAACAUAAACAAAAAAACGAUGCGAUCGACCUUGUUGUAGUGGAUUGGUAGAAUAAUACUUCUCUCAAUAUAACACGAAGUCUGCACGCGACAACAUACUCCGCUCUUCUGCGCGAUCAUUUUCUUGUAGAUCAUUACCGAAUAAAAAUUAUUAACUUAA